This 253-nucleotide ribosomal RNA is filed under the name uncultured bacterium. RNAcentral describes it as "partial 16S ribosomal RNA". It matches the Rfam family "Bacterial small subunit ribosomal RNA", at positions 524 to 776 of the family's 1533-position model. The record is from RNAcentral.
UACGAAGGGUGCGAGCGUUAUUCGGAUUUAUUGGGCGUAAAGGGUUCGUAGGCGGGAGAUCAAGUCAAGUGUGAAAUAUCCGGGCUUAACCUGGAAAGUGCAUUUGAAACUGUUUUUCUUGAGUGUUGAAGAGGGUGGUGGAAUUGCUGGUGUAGGAGUGACAUCCGUAGAGAUCAGCAGGAACAUCGGAGGCGAAGGCGGCCACCUGGUCAAUCACUGACGCUGAGGAACGAAAGCAUGGGGAGCAAACAGG